RNAcentral lists this ribosomal RNA (554 nucleotides) under Onesimoides sp. VN-2012. RNAcentral's name for it is "bacterial SSU rRNA". It matches the Rfam family "Eukaryotic small subunit ribosomal RNA", at positions 68 to 615 of the family's 1831-position model. Lineage: Eukaryota; Metazoa; Arthropoda; Malacostraca; Amphipoda; Lysianassidae. The record is from RNAcentral.
AGCUGUGUUUACGGCGAGACCGCGGACGGCUCAUUAAAUCAGUCGUGGUCCAUAUGGGCUUGAGUUAAUCCUACUUGGAUAACUGUGGUAAUUCCAGAGCUAAUACAUGCAACUCCUAUCCUGAAGGACGGAUGCUUUUAUUAGACCAAACCGUUGAGUGUCUCGUUUAAUGGUGACUCUGGAUAACCAUUUGACAAGCGUACGUACUCUCGUGGGACGACGCUGCCACUUUCGAGUGUCUGCCUUAUCAGCUAUCAACCGUUCGUUAUGUGCGCACGAUGGCUUUGACGGGUAACGGGGAAUCAGAGUUCGAUUCCGGAGAGGCAGCCUGAGAGACGGCUACCACGUCCAAGGACGGCAGCAGGCACGCAAAUUACCCAAUCCCAGCACCUGGGGGAGGUAGUGACGAAAUAUAACGAUGCGGGCGCCCUUUCUGGGGCCCCGCAAUCGGAAUGGCCACUUUCUAAAAAACCUGUUGAGAACCUACUGAAGGGCAAGUCUGGUGCCAGCAGCCGCGGUAAUUCCAGCUUCAGUAGCAUCUAUUAAAGUUGCUG